This 353-nucleotide ribosomal RNA is filed under the name Streptococcus thermophilus. Its description in RNAcentral is "bacterial SSU rRNA". It matches the Rfam family "Bacterial small subunit ribosomal RNA", at positions 1155 to 1508 of the family's 1533-position model. Lineage: Bacteria; Bacillati; Bacillota; Bacilli; Lactobacillales; Streptococcaceae. The record is from RNAcentral.
UUUAUACUGGGGGGGAAGGUGGGGAUGACGUCAAAUCAUCAUGCCCCUUAUGACCUGGGCUACACACGUGCUACAAUGGUUGGUACAACGAGUUGCGAGUCGGUGACGGCGAGCUAAUCUCUUAAAGCCAAUCUCAGUUCGGAUUGUAGGCUGCAACUCGCCUACAUGAAGUCGGAAUCGCUAGUAAUCGCGGAUCAGCACGCCGCGGUGAAUACGUUCCCGGGCCUUGUACACACCGCCCGUCACACCACGAGAGUUUGUAACACCCGAAGUCGGUGAGGUAACCUUUUGGAGCCAGCCGCCUAAGGUGGACAGAUGAUUCUGGCUCUGGCUCCGCGUGGCUGCGCUCCUGA